UCACGAUGAGUUCGCUCUGCUUUUUUAAGAGAAUCUCUCUUCAAUUAUGUGCCUCACCCAUUUGUGUUCUGAUCAUCUUCAUAAUUGUGCUAUAUUGCUACUCUACACAGCUAUUCUUCUUUGGUGCUUCUCACUCAAUUCUCACCCUGCUUCUUCUCAAGCACGCUACUCCUAUCUCAUAGGCCACAUCUCCGAUUUCUUUGCUUCCAAACAUGGACGCCUCUCAGGCGGUUUCAGAUAAAUGAGAAGAUCUACGUCAUCAAUAGAAAGAUUUGAAUUGCUUAAAUCUUAUUUGGAAUGGUUGUUGCAAGAUUUCAUUUUAGUUUCUUAUUAAAGUCACUUUAUUAAAUAAGGAAACUUUUUUUUAUACCUGAAUAAAAUUAGAGAACUGAAAUUUUAUACAACGUUAAUGGAUAAAAUAUUGUACAGUUUUGUCUUAUUAUUAAUAUUAUUAUUAUGAUGGGUCACACUUAGCUUAUUUAUAUAAGUUACUUCAAAUUAAAAGUAUCUUGUUCCCCUAAUCGCUUUUGUUAAUCAAAUUUCACAAAAUAAAAAUGGAAAUGGAAAAAUUGGUAGAUUAAUUAGUAAUUUUACUAUCGAUCUCAUAUUUGUUAUCUUCCCUGAAGUUUCUUUCUUUAUUAUAGUUUGUGUGCGGUGAUAUCUCCGUGAAUGUUCAUGGCAGAUGGCUUCUCCAUUUUUCGUGCUUCCAAACAGUUGGCUAACUUGAAUUGCAUGCAUACCAUUUUGAGAUUCUUACAAGAUAAAAAAUGGAAGGGCAAGGUGGUCUUUGAUCCAUUACAGAGAAGCACUAGCUCAUAAUCCAAGGAACUCUCAUAUAAUAGAAAAAUCAAAAAGGUUUUUCUGCUUCUUUCAUAUUGGAAUUUUCUUUGAAAUAAUUAUAUCUUUCUUCUACCAUUUCUGGUAGUAUUUUCUUAACUAGUCCAAAAAUAUGGAACCAUUCAUGGAACCAUUUUGGAAAAGUAUUUGGACACUUCUGGUCGAACCAGAAAAACCAGGAGUGAUUAUAAUUUUUGUAAUAUAAAACAUUGAACCGGGCUUCUUUAUAAUCAUAAUAAUUAUAAACCUGAUCCUUGUAAUUUUUAGGAAAUUUUUUUGCUGUAUACGGAGAAUACCCCCAAGUGGUGGGAGUAAGAACUUGUAAUAUUUUUAUUUGACUGUAUGGAUUUCCUUCAGACUCUUUGUGUGUAAUACUUAUGGACUUGGAAGCGACAAGAAUAUAUUCAUAAUAUAUUCUGUCCUUUUUUGAAUGUUGUGGAAUAAAAUUUCAAUUUCCUUCAAUGGGAUGAGUAGGAAAUA
Prosopis cineraria is the source of this 1317-nucleotide long non-coding RNA. RefSeq lists it as uncharacterized. The transcript is spliced from 4 exons. The record is from RefSeq and is a predicted model, not a curated record. Lineage: Eukaryota; Viridiplantae; Streptophyta; Magnoliopsida; Fabales; Fabaceae.